GAGAAAGAAGAUGCCAAAAUACUGGUUGAUGACAUCUUUCCCAAGUUUUCCUGUCUUCUUUGCAUAAAUAUUUCCAGUCAUUGUAAGUGGGUGCAGUAUGGACUUUCUGGCUCACCUUGCACUUCUGACCUGCAGCUCAUCUUGGUUUGACCUCCAUUCAACAAGAUGCCCCUGUGCCAGCAGAUGGAGAUGCCACCACUGAUAGCCAAAACCUUGGAAAAGGCCCAGAGAAGCUUCCAGUACUUAUCCAGGAGACCCUGAUGUGGUAUUUAAUAUUUAUUUGUUGAAGACAAAAGUUAAAAAAACACAAGAAAAUGUGGCCCCAACAAUAGUCUGGAGGAUUACUAACAGCAAGAUUAUCUUCUAGCUUUCUACUAAAGAUAAGCCCCUUGAGGGAAGGGAUUGUUUUUGUUGCUCUGUUUGGCAUCUCCAGCAUUGUACCUAGAAAAUAGCAGACAGUUAAAAAUUCGUAGGAUCACAGAUUUGGAGCUGGAAGGAGUCUUAGAAGCCAUCUGGUCUAAUUCCUGCAUAUUUUAUAGGUGCCCAAAGGGUCACAGCUGUGGCAGGGCUGCUAUUCAAACUAAGGACCCCAGAUUCUCAGUCCAGUGCUUUUUCCAUUGUAUCAGACUUUUUUCCUGUUUAAUUGAACUGAUUUGUCAUUUCAUAACUAUCAGUUGUAGUUAUUUAAAGGUUUCCUCUAACUCUAGCCACACCAGAAAAGCAGGCUGGGAGCGACCCAGAUUCGGAUCAUGCCCAGCACUCUCAGCCAGUUGAAGUAGGUUUACAGCUCUGGCUAUCCUCUAGCCGAAGGAAGAUCAGGCAUGAAGACUGAUGUCCCACAUAGGAAGGGCAUUGCCCAGCAACAUGACCCCUUGUACAGUCUCAAGACUGCAAGUAUUACUAUUCAUCUCCCACCCACUAUUACCCCAGGUCUAACAAUCUCCCCUACCACGUGUUUCUCUCCCUUUAUUACUCAAAUACUGGCCAAAUAUGAAUGAACUAUCCCCAUCUCCCAUUCCCCUAUUCUCAUAUCCUUCCACCUUUCCUCACUCACAUUUCACUCUGAUCCUGCCCACCUCCUCUUCCAGUGUACUUUUUGGAAUUGCUGCUCCAUAGUGAACAAAGGUCUCCUUAUUAUGGACCUCUUUCUUUCAUUCUUCAUUAGGUAUCAAUAACUGGCUUCCCCCAAAGACACUGAAUCUUUUGUUUUCCUCUUUAUUACUGGCUAGAGAAGACUUCAUUCCUACUCCUCCCCACCCCUACCCUCUACCACACUGUUCCUGGAAGGGAGUAGGGAUAUGCCUUGCUUUCUAUUACCAUUUCAAGGCUCCCCUUUCAUCUCUCUUUCUUUGAAGUUCAUUUCAAUAAAAAAAAUUCCACCUAAUCUAAGUCAUGGUGGCUGUUGUGUAGGAGACUCCACGUCAUUAUCCCUUCUUUCUCAAGGAGUUCAGCACCUGGCUCACUGUAUUUCCCUCUUUCCCAAUUCCUAACUUUACACUAGGGGACUUCAACAUCCAUAAUGAUGAUACUUCAAACUCUCCUGCCUCUUAUAAUCUUAUAAUUAUGCCUUCCUACAAUCUUAUAAUCUACUCCAUCAUCCCAUUUUAUUCACACAAAGAAAUGGGCAAACAGUGGAUCUCACCAUUAUCCACAAUUUUCUAUUUCCUUAAUUAAAACCCUUACAUUCCUUAAUAUGACCAUAGCUUCUUAUUAUUCCAACUCUCCCUGCCUAAUCACUCCUAAACCAAUGCUUCAUCCUUUUUGGGUCCACUGAUCUUUCUAGUCUUCAGGAUUUUCUCAGGCCAUUAAUAAUUCCUGCUCUGAUUUAAUUUUCUUCCCUUACCAAUAUGGAUCCUAUGCUUAGUCAAUUAACUCCAUACUAUCUUGUACUCUUGACUCCCUUAGGUCCUUGUCCUGUUGCUGCACAUCCCUUGCCAAACCUCAGUCCAGUAUCACUUCCACCAUUUGCUUUCCUACUCAUUUGUCAUUGAAUGAAACUAGAAGUCAAGUAACUGUGCUAACUGCAUACACUCCAAAUUAAUUUAAUCUCACUUGACCUGAACCCUCUUCAGAAAAGCAGGUUUUUCAUACUUUUCUAACUGACACCUUCUUUCUCCAUAGAAACUAUUCCAGCCGUUUUUUUUUCUCUCCUCAGGUCUCCUAUACUCCCCCUUUAUUUCCUCCCUCUCGGCUGAGGAUCCUGUAUCUUAUUUUACUGAGAAAAUUGAGACCAUUUAACAGAAGCUCCCUCUUCUCUCUCCUUAACAUCUUUACUUACUUUCUUCUCCUUCUCCACAGUCCUUAACAAUGUGCUGUUUGCCAAGGUCUAACCCCCUACAAAUGCCCUCAUCCCCACUUACUCACAUUUCUUCCUGCAGAUUGUAACCUCAAUAAUCCCCCUUCUCUAUAAUCUUCAACCUCUUCUUAUCUACUGGUUCCUCCUCUGCUGCCUCCAAAUAUGCCCAAGUCAUCCUCAUCCUUGAAAAACCCUCACUAGAUUGUAUUAUCCUCUCAAGCUCUUAUCCUACAUCUCUCUUCCCUUUCUCAGCCAAAUUCCUAGAAAACAUUGUCUAUGAUCUGUGCCUCCAUUUUCUCUCCUUUUACACACUAUUCAACCCUUUACAAUAUAGCUUCCCACUUCAUCAUUCAACUGACACUUCUGACUCCAGAGUAAGCAACAAUCUUUUUAAUGACCACAUCUGAUGUGUCUUUCUCAGUCUUCAUCAUUCUCAUUCUACCUCAAUCAUUCUGUCAGUCAA
Phascolarctos cinereus (koala) is the source of this 2759-nucleotide long non-coding RNA. RefSeq lists it as uncharacterized. The record is from RefSeq and is a predicted model, not a curated record. NCBI's taxonomy places the organism in Eukaryota, Metazoa, Chordata, Mammalia, Diprotodontia, Phascolarctidae.